UGACCGUCACCGGGAGGAAACUGCCUCCUC
Molecule: small RNA, 30 nt
Filed under: Bombyx mori (domestic silkworm)
Lineage: Eukaryota; Metazoa; Arthropoda; Insecta; Lepidoptera; Bombycidae
Description: ovarian small RNA-31625
Source: RNAcentral